Molecule: microRNA, 21 nt
Filed under: Aegilops tauschii
Lineage: Eukaryota; Viridiplantae; Streptophyta; Magnoliopsida; Poales; Poaceae
Description: ata-miR395b-5p
Gene: ata-miR395b-5p
Source: miRBase by way of RNAcentral
GUUCCCUGCAAACACUUCACG